Molecule: transfer RNA, 90 nt
Filed under: bacterium
Lineage: Bacteria
Description: tRNA-Ser
Rfam family: tRNA
About the family: Transfer RNA (tRNA) molecules are approximately 80 nucleotides in length.
Source: RNAcentral
GGAGAUGUGUCCGAGUGGUUUAAGGAGCACGGUUGGAAACCGUGUAUAGGUGUAAGCUUAUCUAGAGUUCGAAUCUCUACAUCUCCGCCA